CUAGAACUCCGAUACCCACCCCUGUCCAUUAGCAUAUCAUCACACUCCCUGUCUCCUUAAUCCACUCUUCCCAUGCAGCCGUUUAUCGUUCUUCCUUUUUAGGUUUUUGAAAUGGAGGCAGUGUGGGAGGGUGAGUGUUGAUAAUGGUGCGAAACAGAAAACAUCCUCAAGGUCCAUGGGGAGAUGGGUUGAUUGGGGUGUCAUGGCCUCCAUGAAACACUCUCUGGAGAGUUAUAGACAGGGAGCCCAACUCACUCGCUUGGAGAGGGGACCCAGAACACCAUCAAGCUAAAACAUGAGAGGAUCUAAGUGACGCUCCCAGAACUUUCAUCGAGAGACUCACAGCCACAUCAGGGUGAAAACUUAGCUUCAUAAAGGAAAUGCAUUUGUAAAGGUGUCCCCUUCUUCUGUAGGGAGAGAAGGGCACUCUGCACCACUGGGGACUGGACAAUGCCUAUCAAUGGAUAAAGCUCCAACUGGAAUCUGCAGGGCACAUUUCACUUCCCACAUACUUACCACAAACCAGCUGCCCCGGGAGCCUCUGACUCUGUCUUCUCCAUAACUACUGCCCAGAGUGUUCUAUGUGUCCCAGGUUUCACCCCUUUUGUGGUUUCUACUUCUUUGCAUUCAUACAAAAAAUACGAUUUUUCUGAUAUUAAUCUUUUUCUCUGCCUGAUUCUUGGUCUCUGACUACUGAAUCUAAAACAGCAGACAGUAAAAAGGGAAAGGGCCUUUUGCAAAUAAAACAAAAGAAAAACCCUCCCUCUCCUGCAUAGUCAUGUGUUAACAUUUUAGAAAAUGCAUGAACAUCUGAACAAGAAAAUGUAAAUUACCUAUAAACGGCCUGUCUGCUCUGGAGA
RNAcentral lists this long non-coding RNA (860 nucleotides) under Cricetulus griseus (Chinese hamster). Its description in RNAcentral is "lncRNA (ENSCGRG00015032466.1)". The record is from RNAcentral. Lineage: Eukaryota; Metazoa; Chordata; Mammalia; Rodentia; Cricetidae.